Long non-coding RNA from Oreochromis aureus, 1055 nucleotides. NCBI's taxonomy places the organism in Eukaryota, Metazoa, Chordata, Actinopteri, Cichliformes, Cichlidae. The record is from Ensembl.
UUUUCAUCAUUUCUAAAUAUUUUUAUCAUUAGAUUGUUUGUGUGAUUCACACAUGAAAAUGAUCCUUAUUUAUAUUAUGCUGGGCAGUGCAGUGAUACAGCACUUCUGUCUGUCCACUGUCUGAAACUGGAAGUUUUAGCAUGGCAUAGAUUAAAUGGGUAGAAAAAAAAAACUGAAAUCAUUUGUUUAGUGAAAUGUGAAGAAUACAUUUUUGAAUCACGGGGAUUACUGACUAUUUAAAGCUUUAGCCAUGUUUAAUAUGAGCCUCCAUCAGUGUAUAUGUAGACUUAUGUACCAUAAUAAUACAGGACAUGAGAAGAAGGACAACAGAUCCUCUCUAAGGAUACAGGAAGACCUGCAGUGUUAAAAACGAAAGUCUCCUCUGCUACAAAAAAAAGCCCUUGAGAUGUGUGCUUUGGUUCUGCUGAGGGACAGUGGGAAUCCUGGCAACAAUAAGGACAGCUGUACAAACAUUUGCCUGUCUCACCAGCAAGCCCUUUGUCAAGAUCCUAAAUAAACCUGGAAACAUUAUAGAAAUCAGGCUUCCUUGAAGGGAUGUGUCACCUGGCCUGCAUGCGCAGGCUCUACAAGCUUUGUAGAGCCUGAAGGGCUUGCUGGUGCAGUACGAUGAAAAGCUAGCUCUUCUCGGCCUCUGGACUCCAAAUGUUCAAGCUUCACGCAGAUGUGUUCCCAAAGUACUUGCAUCCAAUGUUUCAAGAGCAAGAUAAGAUGCCAACCUGUCCCAGUCUUUCACACAUUUUGCAAAACAGUUUUGCAUGAUACUCCAUGAGCCUGUGACAAUAAAAAGGGGGAGAAAAGUGUACCCCAACAGAAAGUGAUCAGUGCUUUCCUUCUUCCUUCCAUUCUACCUGUAUUUGGUUUGUAGGUGCAAUGCAGAAUUGAUCCACGGGGAGGCAGUGUUUCCUCAUGAUUCAAAUAUGCUCUUCUGCAUACAGUUGAAAAACAUUGGUUUGUAAUGUUUUUUAACCUGUGCAGAAUAUGACUACAGCACACACACACAUAUUUUAAAAUAUUCACAGUGUGUGUUUAAGCUC